CCUACGGGAGGCAGCAGUGGGGAAUAUUGGACAAUGGGGGAAACCCUGAUCCAGCAAUGCCGCGUGAGUGAUGAAGGCCUUAGGGUUGUAAAGCUCUUUUACCAGGGAUGAUAAUGACAGUACCUGGAGAAUAAGCUCCGGCUAACUCCGUGCCAGCAGCCGCGGUAAUACGGAGGGAGCUAGCGUUGUUCGGAAUUACUGGGCGUAAAGCGCACGUAGGCGGUUACUCAAGUCAGAGGUGAAAGCCCGGGGCUCAACCCCGGAACUGCCUUUGAAACUAGGUAACUAGAAUCCUGGAGAGGUGAGUGGAAUUCCGAGUGUAGAGGUGAGAUUCGUAGAUAUUCGGAAGAACACCAGUGGCGAAGGCGGCUCACUGGACAGGUAUUGACGCUGAGGUGCAAAAGCGUGGGGAGCAAACAGGAUUAGAUACCCUGGUAGUCCACGCCGUAAACGAUGAUAACUAGCUGUCCGGGCACAUGGUGUUUGGGUGGCGCAGCUAACGCAUUAAGUUAUCCGCCUGGGGAGUACGGUCGCAAGAUUAAAACUCAAAGGAAUUGACGGCNGAGAGNGCGAGACGACGACGAGGAGAGG
This 591-nucleotide ribosomal RNA is filed under the name uncultured bacterium. RNAcentral's name for it is "bacterial SSU rRNA". It matches the Rfam family "Bacterial small subunit ribosomal RNA", at positions 338 to 946 of the family's 1533-position model. The record is from RNAcentral.